CCUAAUCGCAAAUUCUUUUUAUGGCGUUGUAAAUAGCUCGCAGUAGUUAAUAUUUUAGUUUCACGAUCGGGAAAUUUUCUUUUACAAGUACAUCCUCAGUGCGCGGUAAUGUGGUUCUCGAGAUUCUUUGAGAUCGCUUCAAGUGUGUCUCUGUUGCAUUCUGUGUUUCUCUGAGAAGUGUUGUCACAUAAUUUGCCGGCCAUAAGUUACAACCGGCACUUCACUGUGUAUCUGAGGUCAAACGACGGGUCUGGCCAUUCUCUACUAAUUACGGCACCCGUCACACAGGAUUAGUUUGAACGAACGCGACAUGGCCCACUCUGUAACGACAACGGUAUAUUUCAGCUAAAAGCAAAGGAAUUUCAAUUUCAUGAAUGUGGCUGGCUCGUAUGUGGAUUCGUAAACGAAACACCUGUGCUCGUACCAUAUUCCGAGUUUAUACCAUGGCAAUGUUGACGUAGGAAUAGUAGACGACAGUUUCGUUGUCGUUGAAAGUGUUAGCUGUAUUUUUCUUAUAUCAUGGAAGGGACGCUUGUUUUGAUUCUUUUAGUAUUGGUGAUGUUAGUGGGAAGUUAUUUGGCUGGGGCUAUACCGUUGGUUAUGCCCAUGUCAGAGGAAAAGCUGCAGUUAAUUUCUGUUCUUGGAGCUGGUUUACUAGUGGGAACUGCUUUAGCUGUUAUCAUUCCGGAAGGGGUUCGAUCAUUGAAUACCGCAGUCACUGUUCAGACAAUUCCUUCCACAAAGAAAGAUGGUGUCAUAAUUGAACAUCAUGAGGAUACGUCUUCCACAGACGUUCACUCACUUAUAGGAAUAUCCUUGGUUCUUGGAUUUGUAUUUAUGUUAUUGGUUGACCAGUGCUCUGUUUCCAGAAGUAGAGAUGCCGAAGGCAGCCCAAAGUCGGCAGAAAGGAACAUAACAGCUACAGUUGGCCUUGUGGUCCAUGCUGCAGCUGAUGGAGUUGCGCUCGGAGCGGCAGCAACUACAGAUCAAGCUGGAGUUGAGAUGAUUGUGUUCAUUGCCAUCAUGCUCCACAAGGCUCCAGCAGCCUUUGGAUUAGUCACAUUCUUACUUCAUGAGGGCUUGGAUCGAAACCGUAUUAGGAGACACCUGUUAGUGUUUUCACUAUCAGCUCCACUCCUUGCACUUCUUACUUUUUUUGGCAUAGGACAGGAAGGCAAAGAAACACUUUCAUCUGUAAAUGCAACUGGAAUUGCAAUGUUAUUUAGUGCAGGUACCUUCUUAUAUGUAGCAACGGUACAUGUGCUACCAGAGCUAACAUCCAAGAAUGGUCACUCACAUGGAAGUUCCAUCCUUGAAACAUCUGAGAGAAAAGGACUACGCAUAAUUGAGCUCACAUUCCUAAUUAUUGGUGCACUGUUGCCACUGUUUCUGACAUUGGGGCAUCAGCACUAACAGUUUGCAGACAUAUUUUGAACAGAGGUGCAAAUUAUGAAAGGAGGCAUAGAGGAGGGCCAGUAAACUGGAUGCUGAUCUCAAGAGUAUUUUAUUAAUACCAGUAAUGUGAAAGUGCAGUUAAAACAUACUGAUAUCAGGAGCCAGUAAUUAGUCCUUUCCCUCAUGCUUCCUCACAAGGCGGACAUCACUUGCAAACUGUGAAAAUUGUGUCAGAAUGAGUGACAAAUGAAAUUAUGUAUUAGCAUUUAUAUAAUAUUAAUUUGUGUUACAAAUGGGACCUGUUUCGUGUGAAGAUUGUGGUAUACAAUCUUAUCAUUCAGGAAAUACUACUUUAAAUGUGGCAGAAAAUAAGGAUUGAAUGUGUAUUAAAGUACUCAAAACAACCCAGAUUUUAUUAAUGGGUACCUAACAUCACAAACUUCUUAUGUACGGUUUUAGAAAAGCAUAAAAUUAAAAAUGUUUCUGACUCACAUUCCUGGGUCUGACACUGAAUGUGCAGGGUGGUCCUCUAACGCACCAUCCGGGGUGUGACAUAAACAUAUGAUUUAAGAUAUUCUGUACCUGUUCGAUACAAACACUGUGCAAUUAUGAAUUGUAUGCGUAAUAAAUGUCAAACCAUUUUUAUUUGAUUGGCUGUAGUAAUGUAGUGAGAAAGAAAUUAAUCUGUUACAUGGACAAUUGGUAUGUACAAUAUCAUAAUUUAAGCAUGUUUGGGAAAUGCACUUACAAAUAAGAUAACAGCUGGUUACUGUACAACAUUCACAUUUUGUGGCUUGUGUGUGUUUUUACAUAUGUGGGGCUAGGGUAAAUGCAUGUAACAGACACUUAAUUUGAUGUGUUCCUAAGUAGUGGUUGUAUACUUUAUAUUAGGUCUGUUCAUGUAUGGGUUAUGUUUGUUGUAUGAAAACAUCACCACGUGUUUUGACCUUUAGGUCAUCAUCAGAUGGAUUAUUCAUACAGAAAAGCCACUACUGAAUUAGUAUAUGUGUGUAAAUGACUUUAGACCAUACUGAAAUUGAUCUAUUUCAGGUAGGUCUUACAGGUUGUGUUAUUUUAUUAUGAUAAAUAAAAAUGCACAUAUAAAUAUGUGGAGUCUGUUAAUAUUUUACAUAAAAUUAACAUAUUGAAGUACUAAGAAGUAGGUCAAAAUUUCAUUACACAUAGCUUGUUAUACAGUGUCCUAAAAACAUGUCUACACACAUUCCAUAAAUGAAAUAAAGACAUUUUAAUAAACUAAACCAUUACAUAUGUUAGCAUUGGCACUUAGUAAAUAGCUCUAGUGUGGGUGUUUAAAAUGACCAUUAACUUAGUAAAUAGGUUGACAACAGUGAACAACUGACUGACAAGCAGCCACUAAAGCUGCAGCUGGGAUGGCUGCACAAGACCAUUCAGCCAGCAGUCUUGAAGUGUUGCUGGCUUUGUGCUAUACACUGAGUCUUUCAAGUAACUCCACAAGAAAAUGUCAGGUGGGGUUAAAUCUGGCGAUCAUGAGAGGUACUCAGGAGAUCCUCUGUGUCCUAUCCAUUAGUCUGAAUGAUGGGAAAAGAUAUUGCAGGGCCAUCUGUUAAGUGUAGACCAUACUAGGUUCCCCUCGGAAACACAGAAUGAUAACGAGGAUAAUCUUCUUUUGUAGCUUCAUGGUCCUUUUAGUUUAAUCUUGGCCUCCCUCUUGAUAGCCAUCCGCUCAUUCCUAUCGUGUGAUUUUAUUGUCCAUCUUUUUAUACCAAGGGCUUUUAUGUUCCAAAUUCAAAUCAAGGUCUUAUUUCAUUUCUAUGGUCAUUUCCUUUGAGCAGUCUGGCUUAAUUCCUCAGGUUUCUGAACAGUAGUUUUUUUAUGAGGUGGGGUUGUUAACCCUGCACUCAACCCCCAACCUGGAGGACCAGGCCUCCAUAUUUAUAUACCACCAGGCACUGGGUACCCAUUUUAGUUGCCUCUUACAGCAGGCUAUGGUGGGACUAUUCUAAUUCUCUGGUCACCACAGGGAGAUAACAAGGAUAAUAUUUCAUACAUUGUUUUGGGAUGUUCUGUAUAUGUGUGUUUAGGUAUUAUAGUGUACCGCCUUCCUUGACCAUUCUUCAAAAUUUUUCUGACAGGUUUUUGAACCUUUUCUGUUAUUUGAUAGGAUUAUGACUCAGACCGGGAAUCGGCCCAUUUCAAGGCAUCUGUCUACACAAGACAACAAAACACAGAAAGACACAUACACAUAUCUACAGCUACAUUGGUAUUUGAACUCACCAUCCCACUGUUUGAGUAACUUGGUCACUGUGAUUAGCCAUUAUAUAGUCCAUAUAUGUUGUGGCUUUUCUAUGUCCGCCUGAUGACCUAAGGGUUGAAACGUGCAGUUUUUAGAUAAUACAUUCACAUAUCAGGUUUGUUGAUGGUCUUUCAUCUCGUUAAAAUGAAAAAUACAUCAACAUGCACAAAAUAAAGGAUUAUGUUUGGUUGGUCAUCCACUAGAGUAGGGUGAAGUGAUUGGGUCAUGUUCUCUUGGUAUUGAAUCUAGGGCUGUAUUUUAAUGUGUGUUCAUCAUUACAUUUCAGACUCAAAGAUUGGAACCAGUCUUGCAGUAGAAGACAGUAAAAGAGAAAAAUGCAGCAAUGGUAGGUGAUGAAUGAAACCACAAUGUCCCAAACCUGCUUUAGAUGAUGAAUUAUUAAGUUAUAUAUUGUUAACAUCAACUCUUCGAAGUUAAUAGUUUUUACUCCAUUCAAGAACUGAACCUACAGCCUCUCACUGGCUAGAAUAGGUGCUUUAUCAUUGAUUCUGAUGAGUAGGUUUUUUCCCUUCAUCAGUUCUUGCAUGUGAGCAGAAAUGGAUCUGUACAAAUAAACACUGAGAAAGGAGUCAGUCAGAUGUGAGGUUCUCAUGGCAGUGGGAAUGUUUGUGAUAUUUCAGGUCUUCUCAGAUGUGACCACUAUGUCUUGUAAGUUGUGACCAGAAUUUUGGGGGAAUUAUAAGACCAUGCAGCAUAAAGCAGAAGACUGAUCGACAGAAGUAAGCAAACUUAUACCUAUAUAACCAUAUCAGAAAUGUAAAUUAAUGAUUUGAACAGAAUGUUUGGAGCCUUACAAUAAAAGACAUAAAUGUCAGCCUUUGUACAACUAUGUUGCUUCUUUUUCAUGUAAGGAUUCAUGCAUUUUGACUGAAACGCAUCAGAACCUAGGAAACAAAAUUCUUUUAAGUUUCCCAGUCUGGAGUCUACCCCGAGGUGAUAAAUGGGCAAGGAUGUAUGUGUUGCUAUAUUUUAUGAGUUGAAACAUAACUAUGGGCAGAUAUCAGGUAUCAGAUGUACUUUUUAGAAUUGGGUAGUAACUGCAUAUAUAUUAAUUAGUUUAUCAGUUUCAUUUCAUGGGAAACAAACCCUAUCAUUCAAGAUGUUGAUAAUAUGUAGCUGUAAAAAUGCCCAUUGUAAUGUAUUUAUUGAAAUGUGUGGUUGUGUGGUAUGAUGCGAUAAAUUGUCAACUGUUUUAUAUGUAAAUACAUGGGAACACUUUAAAUUUUGGCUGUUAUUUUUGUGGCAUUAUGUAUAAUUUUAUAACACUAAAAUAAAGAGGUUAAUGGAUGUGUA
Molecule: non-coding RNA, 4984 nt
Organism: Zootermopsis nevadensis
Lineage: Eukaryota; Metazoa; Arthropoda; Insecta; Blattodea; Termopsidae
Source: RefSeq, a predicted model, not a curated record